GUUAACAACUUGUAACAAGCUUGAUGACAUUAUCAGACUUGUUGCAAGGUUGUUCCAAUAAGUCCGAUACAGUCAUGAUAUACCAAUAUUGUAACAUUCUUGUUAUAUCAUGACUGUAUCAGACUUGUUAGAACAACCUUGCAACAAGUCUGAUAAUGCCAUCAAGCUUGUUACAAGUUGUUAAC
Paramuricea clavata is the source of this 185-nucleotide non-coding RNA. Lineage: Eukaryota; Metazoa; Cnidaria; Anthozoa; Malacalcyonacea; Plexauridae. The record is from the annotation of a GenBank genome assembly.